GGAUGUGAGGGUGAUCUGGCUGCGACAUCUGUCACCCCGUUGAUCGCCAGGGUUGAUCCGGCUGAUCUGGCUGGCGAGGCGGGUGUCCCCUUCCUCCCUCACCGCUCCAUGUGCGUCCCUCCCGGAGCUGCGCUGGGUCCGACCUUCCGCGCUAGAGGAGGACCGUUCUUCGGUCAAGGGUAUACGAGGAGCUGCGCUCCCCUGCUAGAACCUCCAAACAAAAUAUACAAAGGACUUUUUAAACUGUAAAACAUUUUACAGAUUUUAAAUAUUACUGGGUCUAGUGAUAGUUAUUU
This 296-nucleotide small nuclear RNA is filed under the name Prolemur simus (greater bamboo lemur). Its description in RNAcentral is "7SK RNA (ENSPSMG00000021322.1)". It matches the Rfam family "7SK RNA". Rfam says of the family: 7SK was discovered as an abundant small nuclear RNA in the mid-70s but a possible function has only recently been suggested. Two independent studies have found that 7SK RNA binds the CDK9/cyclin T complex (known as elongation factor P-TEFb). The record is from RNAcentral. Lineage: Eukaryota; Metazoa; Chordata; Mammalia; Primates; Lemuridae.